UCGGGAAUUUUGGGCAAUGGGCGAAAGCCUGACCCAGCAACGCCGCGUGAAGGAUGAAGUAUUUCGGUAUGUAAACUUCGAAAGAAUAGGAAGAAUAAAUGACGGUACUAUUUAUAAGGUCCGGCUAACUACGUGCCAGCAGCCGCGGUAAUACGUAGGGACCAAGCGUUGUUCGGAUUUACUGGGCGUAAAGGGCGCGUAGGUGGUUUUAUAAGUUAGGUGUGAAAGUCCUGGGCUUAACCUGGGGACUGCGCCUAAUACUGUAGAGCUAGAGUACUGUAGAGGGAGGUGGAAUUUCCAGUGUAGCAGUGAAAUGCGUAGAUAUUGGAAGGAACAUCAGUGGCGAAGGCGACUUCCUGGACAGAUACUGACACUGAGGCACGAAAGCGUGGGGAGCAAACAGGAUUAGAUACCCUUGUAGUCCCUGAGCGGGCUGGCAAGGCGCAU
RNAcentral lists this ribosomal RNA (447 nucleotides) under uncultured bacterium. RNAcentral describes it as "bacterial SSU rRNA". It matches the Rfam family "Bacterial small subunit ribosomal RNA", at positions 355 to 825 of the family's 1533-position model. The record is from RNAcentral.